GCGCGUUCGGUGGCCUGUUAUUGGAAUUGGCUAAUUUCGAACGGAAAAUAGCCCAUGUUUAACCCAAGAUAACUUUAUAACUAAAGGCUAUUUUGAUUUAAUUUUUUCGUGUGUUUGUUAAAGAAGGAUAGAUCUAAAACACAAGGCAAUUUUAAAAGUCCAACAAGCUCAAACAAGAAUUUAAUUUGCAAUGGAAUAAGUUGAAUUUUGAGUAUCGCGACGCCAUCGAAAUCAUGCGGCACCGGCGUGCGACGAUGACAUGUCGUGUUCAAACGUAAAUCCGGAGUGAUCUCUGGGGUCAUAUGGGACAAUAUUGGUAUCAAAAGAAAGAGGAGAACCUCAGCUAUCCACCAAUGUCCUAUUCUUUCGAGUUUUUGACUUGGAAAGAUUAUUUCAUGCGAAAAACAAGACUUUUUUGUGUUUUUAAACAUUUUCUGGUGCGAAAUGUCAGAAGAAUCAGAAAUCCGAACGAAUUUCGCCACGCCAUUGAGCACUGUGAAAGAAGCAUUAUGUGAAAAUUGUCGCAACUUUAACGACGACGAUUUGCGUUUGCUUAUUUGGAAAUGGGGCGAAGCCUGGCUGGAAAGUAUUCAUCCCUAUCAUACUGUAUAACAUGGUCAUGGAUUGAAAGUGUUAAUGGCUUCAAUUUUAUGGAUCCUUAGGCUUAGCCUGAAUCAGUAAAUGAGUCACAAGAACAGUAUGUAGGAAAAUGUA
Molecule: long non-coding RNA, 714 nt
Organism: Dendronephthya gigantea
Lineage: Eukaryota; Metazoa; Cnidaria; Anthozoa; Malacalcyonacea; Nephtheidae
Exons: 3
Source: RefSeq, a predicted model, not a curated record